GGCGGCCGAAGGCGCGGGAGGCGGCUGAGGAGGCGGGGGAAGGUUGGUGUUCUGGCUGUGUUUAGCUAAGGAAUAUCUUCUUGUCGUUCUUCAGAAUCCAUAUGACUAGACCUUCUGCAGUAUUAAUCUUGCAUUCACGAAACUAUACUUUGAAAAAGGCUCAAGUUUUCAUUGUGGUCCUUACUGAAUUUACUAAUGUACUGAGCUUGUCUUUAUUAAAACUGUUUCUAGCACAG
Tachyglossus aculeatus (Australian echidna) is the source of this 236-nucleotide long non-coding RNA. RefSeq lists it as uncharacterized. The record is from RefSeq and is a predicted model, not a curated record. Lineage: Eukaryota; Metazoa; Chordata; Mammalia; Monotremata; Tachyglossidae. The transcript is spliced from 2 exons.